UGAUGGAGGGGGAUAACUACUGGAAACGGUAGCUAAUACCGCAUAAUGUCGCAAGACCAAAGUGGGGGACCUUCGGGCCUCAUGCCAUCAGAUGUGCCCAGAUGGGAUUAGCUAGUAGGUGGGGUAACGGCUCACCUAGGCGACGAUCCCUAGCUGGUCUGAGAGGAUGACCAGCCACACUGGAACUGAGACACGGUCCAGACUCCUACGGGAGGCAGCAGUGGGGAAUAUUGCACAAUGGGCGCAAGCCUGAUGCAGCCAUGCCGCGUGUGUGAAGAAGGCCUUCGGGUUGUAAAGCACUUUCAGCGGGGAGGAAGGCG
RNAcentral lists this ribosomal RNA (320 nucleotides) under Klebsiella pneumoniae. RNAcentral describes it as "bacterial SSU rRNA". It matches the Rfam family "Bacterial small subunit ribosomal RNA", at positions 131 to 453 of the family's 1533-position model. The record is from RNAcentral. Lineage: Bacteria; Pseudomonadati; Pseudomonadota; Gammaproteobacteria; Enterobacterales; Enterobacteriaceae.